GGUUCCUGUCCAACGUUAAUCGGGGCAGGGUGAGUCGACCCCUAAGGCGAGGCCGAAAGGCGUAGUCGAUGGGAAACAGGUUAAUAUUCCUGUACUUGGUGUUACUGCGAAGGGGGGACGGAGAAGGCUAUGUUGGCCGGGCGACGGUUGUCCCGGUUUAAGCGUGUAGGCUGGUUUUCCAGGCAAAUCCGGAAAACCAAGGCUGAGGCGUGAUGACGAGGCACUACGGUGCUGAAGCGACAAAUGCCCUGCUUCCAGGAAAAGCCUCUAAGCAUCAGGUAACAUCAAAUCGUACCCCAAACCGACACAGGUGGUCAGGUAGAGAAUACCAAGGCGCUUGAGAGAACUCGGGUGAAGGAACUAGGCAAAAUGGUGCCGUAACUUCGGGAGAAGGCACGCUGAUAUGUAGGUGAAGCGACUUGCUCGUGGAGCUGAAAUCAGUCGAAGAUACCAGCUGGCUGCAACUGUUUAUUAAAAACACAGCACUGUGCAAACACGAAAGUGGACGUAUACGGUGUGACGCCUGCCCGGUGCCGGAAG
Molecule: ribosomal RNA, 540 nt
Filed under: Escherichia coli
Lineage: Bacteria; Pseudomonadati; Pseudomonadota; Gammaproteobacteria; Enterobacterales; Enterobacteriaceae
Description: partial 23S ribosomal RNA
Rfam family: Bacterial large subunit ribosomal RNA
Source: RNAcentral